This 633-nucleotide ribosomal RNA is filed under the name Triticum aestivum (bread wheat). RNAcentral's name for it is "partial small subunit ribosomal RNA". Lineage: Eukaryota; Viridiplantae; Streptophyta; Magnoliopsida; Poales; Poaceae. The record is from RNAcentral.
AUGCCGAGCGGACGGUGGCGAUACGGCUCUGUAUCCAUCUCUGAGCCCUACCCCAUUCUCUUCCCGCACCCACCUCGCCGCAUGCCCCCACCCCUCCCAAUCUCGACCUGGAUCGCCGGUUCGGUCUUCACCACAGAGAGAACGAGGGGGAGAGAGGCGAUGGGAUGGGAACUGGCAUCCAUGGGUCGGAGUGAGCCGCGAAGCACAUCUCUGCGGAGGUCGAGAUGCCCGGAUCGUUGCCAUUCUUUCUAUACUCAAACGCACCAAAAAAAAAAAAGAAAUCAUGGCGACGGUGGCAUCGGGUGCUACUGCCUACGAGUAUGUCCAUAUCAUCCAGGCGGAGAAUCUCACCGGGAAUGUUCCGUCCAUUCUCUACAGGCGAUAGGGCUCUCCCGAUCUCGUCCUGGAGGAACAACGCUGUUCACCACUUCUGGUCAGGUUGUCGGCUGCAGACCUGUUCAACCAGUGUCUUCGGAUGCUAUUGUCCAAGACAGCCUCCACGCUUCUGCCCUACAUACAGACUAUCCAUGUCUGUCCCUAGAUAUGCGGGGAGGAGCAAGCAGGAGGGCAAGGAGGAGCACACCUCUAUCAUGCACACGAUCAUUUUGGGAGCACCAAACAUGCAGUGCUUGA